This 440-nucleotide ribosomal RNA is filed under the name uncultured bacterium. RNAcentral's name for it is "partial 16S ribosomal RNA". It matches the Rfam family "Bacterial small subunit ribosomal RNA", at positions 338 to 795 of the family's 1533-position model. The record is from RNAcentral.
CCUACGGGAGGCAGCAGUAGGGAAUAUUGCUCAAUGGGGGAAACCCUGAAGCAGCAACGCCGCGUGGAGGAUGAAGGUUUUAGGAUUGUAAACUCCUUUUGUGAGAGAAGAUAAUGACGGUAUCUAACGAAUAAGCACCGGCUAACUCCGUGCCAGCAGCCGCGGUAAUACGGAGGGUGCAAGCGUUACUCGGAAUCACUGGGCGUAAAGAGUGCGUAGGCGGGAUUGUAAGUCAGAUGUGAAAUCCUAUGGCUUAACUAUAGAACUGCAUUUGAAACUAUGAUUCUAGAGUUUGGGAGAGGUAGGUGGAAUUCUUGGUGUAGGGGUAAAAUCCGUAGAGAUCAAGAGGAAUACUCAUUGCGAAGGCGACCUACUGGAACAUUACUGACGCUGAUGCGCGAAAGCGUGGGGAGCAAACAGGAUUAGAUACCCUUGUAGUC